Molecule: transfer RNA, 98 nt
Filed under: Actinoplanes regularis
Lineage: Bacteria; Bacillati; Actinomycetota; Actinomycetes; Micromonosporales; Micromonosporaceae
Description: tRNA-Phe
Source: RNAcentral
UGGUGGGUACCGGGUUGGUGGAGCCGAAGGUGCCGUUGAAACCGGUGCUGGUGGAGGCCCCGGUGCCGAGCGUGCCGUUCCAGGCCGCGUUGGUCACC